UAAAGGUUUGGUCCUAACCUUAUCAUCAGCUAUUUCUUGACUUACACAUGCAAGUCUCCGCAUGCCCGUGAGAACGCCCUUAUUCCUCCCUCAGGGUAAGGAGCUGGUAUCAGGCACAGACACCUAGCCCAUAACACCUAGCCCUGCCACUCCCCCAAGGGUAUUCAGCAGUGAUUAACAUUGUUCAUAAGCGCCAGCUUGACCCAGUCAAAGCAAAUAGAGUCGGCCAACCCGGUGCCAGCCGCCGCGGCUACACCAUUGGACUCAAGUUGAUGAAUUUCGGCGUUAAGCGUGAUUAAAGUGAUCAAAAGAUUAGAAUUAAACCACAACAAAGUUGUAACACACUUGUUUUCAAGAAGCACAAAACGAAAGUUAUUUUAACUCGACAACUUGACCUCACGACAGCUAAGAAACAAACUGGGAUUAGAUACCCCACUAUGCCUAGCCGUAAAACAUCAACCCACACCUAAAUCGCCAGGGAAUUACGAGCCCAAGCUUAAAACCCAAAGGACUUGACGGUGUCCCAUCCCCCUAGAGGAGCCUGUUCUAUAAUCGAUUCUCCCCGAUCAACCUCACCGCCUCUCGAACCCCAGUCUGUAUACCUCCGUCGCAAGCUUACCAUGUGAACGCUUACUCGUGAGCCCAAAGAUCAUACAUUCACACGUCAGGUCAAGGUGCAGCCUACGAGGCGGGAAGAAAUGGGCUACAAUCUCUACCCUAGAACAAACGGAAGUACUACGUGCAAUACAGUCACUUAAGGCGGAUUUAGUAGUAAAAAGAAAAUAGAGAGUUCUUUUUAACCGGGCGCUGGGACGCGUACACACCGCCCGUCACCCUCUUCAAAUAGGUUAGACACUGUCACUAACACCACAACCCCCACACAGGAGAGGCAAGUCGUAACACGGUAAGCGUACUGGAAAGUGCGCUUGGAAUAACAAA
RNAcentral lists this non-coding RNA (939 nucleotides) under Sphenophryne schlaginhaufeni (Wandolleck's land frog). Its description in RNAcentral is "Liophryne schlaginhaufeni (Wandolleck's land frog) 12S ribosomal RNA". It matches the Rfam family "Bacterial small subunit ribosomal RNA". The record is from RNAcentral. Lineage: Eukaryota; Metazoa; Chordata; Amphibia; Anura; Microhylidae.